RNAcentral lists this ribosomal RNA (461 nucleotides) under uncultured bacterium. RNAcentral's name for it is "partial 16S ribosomal RNA". It matches the Rfam family "Bacterial small subunit ribosomal RNA", at positions 338 to 795 of the family's 1533-position model. The record is from RNAcentral.
CCUACGGGUGGUUGCAGUGAGGAAUAUUGGUCAAUGGGCGCGAGCCUGAACCAGCCAAGUCGCGUGAGGGAGGACGGCCCUACGGGUUGUAAACCUCUUUUGCCGGGGAGCAACGGGCGCCACGUGUGGCGUCACUGAGAGUACCCGGAGAAAAAGCAUCGGCUAACUCCGUGCCAGCAGCAGCGGUAAUACGGAGGAUGCGAGCGUUAUCCGGAUUUAUUGGGUUUAAAGGGUGCGUAGGCGGCCUUUUAAGUCAGCGGUGAAAGUCUGUGGCUCAACCAUAGAAUUGCCGUUGAAACUGGGAGGCUUGAGUAUGUGUGAGGCAGGCGGAAUGCGUGGUGUAGCGGUGAAAUGCUUAGAUAUCACGCAGAACCCCGAUUGCGAAGGCAGCCUGCCAAGCCAUGACUGACGCUGAUGCACGAAAGCGUGGGGAUCAAACAGGAUUAGAUACCCGUGUAGUC